RNAcentral lists this ribosomal RNA (476 nucleotides) under uncultured bacterium. RNAcentral's name for it is "bacterial SSU rRNA". It matches the Rfam family "Bacterial small subunit ribosomal RNA", at positions 30 to 521 of the family's 1533-position model. The record is from RNAcentral.
AUUGAACGCUGGCGGCAUGCCUUACACAUGCAAGUCGAACGGCAGCACGGGUGCUUGCACCUGGUGGCGAGUGGCGAACGGGUGAGUAAUACAUCGGAACGUACCUUAUCGUGGGGGAUAACGCAGCGAAAGCUGUGCUAAUACCGCAUACGCCCUGAGGGGGAAAGCGGGGGAUCGAAAGACCUCGCGCGAUUAGAGCGGCCGAUGCCUGAUUAGCUUGUUGGUGGGGUAAAGCCCACCAAGGCGACGAUCAGUAGCUGGUCUGAGAGGACGAUCAGCCACACUGGGACUGAGACACGGCCCAGACUCCUACGGGAGGCAGCAGUGGGGAAUUUUGGACAAUGGGGGAAACCCUGAUCCAGCAAUGCCGCGUGAGUGAAGAAGGCCUCGGGUUGUAAAGACUCUUUCUCUAAGGAAGAAGUUCUGACGGUACUUGAGGAAUAAGCAUCGGCUAACUCUGUGCCAGCAGCCGCGGU